UCAUACGUAGGACCCAAGCGUUAUCCGGAUUGACUGGGCGUAAAGAGUUGCGUAGGUGGUUUGUUAAGCGAAUAGUGAAAUCUUGUGGCUCAACCAUGAGGCUAUUAUUCGAACUAAUAAACUCGAGAAGAGGAGAGGUAUCUGGAAUUCCCAGUGUAGGAGUGAAAUCCGUAGAUAUUGGGAGGAACACCAAUGGCGUAGGCAGGAUACUGGACUCUUUCUGACACUAAGGCACGAAAGCGUGGGGAGCGAACCGGAUUAGAUACCCGGGUAGUCCACGCCGUAAACUAUGGAUGCUAGCUGUAUGCCGUAUCGACCCGGUAUGUAGCGAAGCUAACGCGUUAAGCAUCCCGCCUGGGGAGUACGGUCGCAAGACUA
RNAcentral lists this ribosomal RNA (378 nucleotides) under uncultured bacterium. Its description in RNAcentral is "bacterial SSU rRNA". It matches the Rfam family "Bacterial small subunit ribosomal RNA", at positions 521 to 896 of the family's 1533-position model. The record is from RNAcentral.